RNAcentral lists this long non-coding RNA (937 nucleotides) under Danio rerio (zebrafish). Its description in RNAcentral is "lncRNA (ENSDARG00000117821.1)". The record is from RNAcentral. Lineage: Eukaryota; Metazoa; Chordata; Actinopteri; Cypriniformes; Danionidae.
GUCAUUUCUGAAGCAUUUUCAAUCGAGCAGUGGACAGCAGCCUCUUCAUUUCUAUUGGAGCUGUUAUUGUUAUUAUUUCAGACACCGCCGCCAACAACACUCCAAAUGGAAAGUGAAGAGUGAAGCAAGCAAUCUGCCAUGAUGGUGGGGUGCCGCAAAUAAAAUCUAAUGAGGUCCUUUUCUCCCUGUCUACUUUUCAAGAGAGCUAAAUCAACAGCGCAAAGACACCCUCAAACCCCACACGCUUCUUAAGAAGGAGAAUUCUGCAAACCUGCACUUUCGUCGCAAAAUAUAUAUCUCAGCACAACACUGCAUCAUCUCAGCAUGGCAUUUAGGAAGUUUCAGGAAAGUUCAAACGGGAGACUUCAGCAAAUCUUUUGGAACUUUGAAACGAUCGUGUCAACAAAACAUGAGCAAUGGGCUAAAAAGACCCACGUUGAGGCAUGUUUUAUCUUUCCAGGUUCAAGAGUUUGAGCUCAAGAAAAUCCCAGGAUUUUGCUUUGCUAAUAUGAAGCUACCUCGUUUGAUUUAAUUUGCUGGUUUCUUAUCACAUAGAAAACAUGCUGCUCCUGCACACACACACACACACACACACACACACACACACACAAAACAGGCUGAAGGCUGAAAGAGACCUUGUGUUAGACUGAACCUUCCACUCUGUCCGCUGGCACAAUCAAUGAACUGUUGUAUGAAGCAGAUAUAACUAAACAUUGAUCCAUAGUUUAUUGGAAAAAAUAUGCUUGGUUAAAUGGGUGUAACUUCAAGUUAGUCAAACAGCUAGAUUUAUGUAGCAAAUGCAUUAAAUCGCAUGUGUCCAAAUCGAAAUCCAUUGAUUGUGUAUUUAUUCUAAAAGGUGACUCAUUUUAUUUAUUAAUUUUACUUUCAGUUACACUUUAUUUGAAGGUGUCCUUGUUUCAGUGUAAUUAUUCAUUUA